Molecule: non-coding RNA, 818 nt
Organism: Doryrhamphus excisus (bluestripe pipefish)
Lineage: Eukaryota; Metazoa; Chordata; Actinopteri; Syngnathiformes; Syngnathidae
Source: RefSeq, a predicted model, not a curated record
UUAAAAAAGUUAAAGCCAGACCUUCUCUCCAAAAAGGAUUGUUUCUGUCACAGCAAGAGUGAGUGCUCUUCUUCCCCCGAGACAAUCUUCGAUGUUUCGACUCUCCCGGUGCAAGCUAGCAACGCCAGAAGCCAAGUCUGGCCCCCGCCCUGCCAUUGGCUGGCACCCAGUCCAGGCUCCAGCAUACCCCCACAACGCUACUGUGACCAACACGGCCGGCAAGAUGGACGGAUGGGCUUCAGUGUACCUAACUAGGAGGUGCCAAGUAAAGCCACAAAAUGUCAAAAGAAGAAACGGGAGGCAUCGAUUCUCAAACUGUGGUACCAGUACCAGUGGUGGGACGUGGGCUCCAUCUAGUGGUACUCGGGGACACCAAGGAUGGUUUUAUUUUCCUUGUAUACAGUGUUAGAAAAGCAUGAUUAUAUGAUGUACAAUGAAGUAAUUGCACCAAUGCACAUGAAAAUUGAAAUGAGAUUUUGAGGGAAAACAAUCUCUAGGGCUGAGCUCCGAAGAAGUCAUCCCACACGGGACAUACUGUAUCUGGGACCUGUAUCUUCUCAACUCAUUGGACUGAAAAACACAGACAAGGUAACGUCAGGUGAACAUUUAUAAUCAUCCUCUUGUGCGAUAUGACAAUGAUAAUCGAUAGAAAUGAUAGACAGCAGUGGAGCCGUGGUUUGUGACAAUGAGCUGUCUUCUCUUGUGUGUUUUAUAAAACAUUUACAUAUUCUUUGUUGACACGAGUCAAGUAUUUUGUAUGCAAAAUCCAUUUCCAACAAUCUCCAGAAGGUUGUUUGCAGAGGAGCUCUGAAAUCCAU